GGGUUAUGGCCCAGCGGCAGAGUGCUUGCCUAGCAUGUGUGAGGCCCUGGGUUCGAUCCUCAGGUCCA
This 68-nucleotide transfer RNA is filed under the name Marmota monax (woodchuck). RNAcentral describes it as "tRNA.Ala". The record is from RNAcentral. Lineage: Eukaryota; Metazoa; Chordata; Mammalia; Rodentia; Sciuridae.